Molecule: long non-coding RNA, 1346 nt
Filed under: Salmo salar (Atlantic salmon)
Lineage: Eukaryota; Metazoa; Chordata; Actinopteri; Salmoniformes; Salmonidae
Description: lncRNA (ENSSSAG00000093211.1)
Source: RNAcentral
AGAGUAAUGGUUCAUACCAGUAUAUUGACCCAGAUUAAAGGUUCAUGCCAGUAUAUUGACCCAGAGUAAAGGUUCAUACCAUUAUAUUGACCCAGAAAAAAGGUUCAUACCAUUAUAUUGACCAAGAGUAAAGGUUCAUACCAUUAUAUUGACCCAGAAAAAAGGUUCAUGCCAGUAUAUUGACCCAGAGUAAAGGUUCAUACCAUUAUAUUGACCCAGAGUAAAGGUUCAUACCAUUAUAUUGACCCAGAGUAAAGGUUCAUACCAGUAUAUUGACCCAGAGUAAAGGUUCAUACCAGUAUAUUGACCCAGAGUAAAGGUUCAUACCAUUAUAUUGACCCAGAGUAAAGGUUCAUACCAGUAUAUUGACCCAGAGUAAAGGUUCAUACCAUUAUAUUGACCAAGAGUAAAGGUUCAGACCAGGAUGUUGACCCAGAGUAAAGGUUCAGGACAGAAAGCCUAUAGCAACAGCAUAGCUCUUUCUUUGUAUCUCUCUACCAUCUCUCUCAGUAUAUGUAUUUAUAUCACUGAUGUAUCUUUGUCUUGUUACCCCUCCAUCUUUCUUCCUGAAACUAUCUUUUCUCUUUCUUCCACAAAGAUUAAUCUACCUUGUCUGAUUGGUAACCUGAACAGGAAGGUUGUGUGGAGAGACUCCGUCAUGAUGAGUUGAUCAUCCCUGAUCAGAGAAAGGCCGUUAGUUCACUCUGCUCUCUGUGGGAAUGUGCUAACAUACACCGCCUGUGUCCAGCUCAGCCCACCCACUCCUUACCGUCAGACUGUCCUUCUCUCUUUUUCUCUGUAUUUUUCACUGUUCCUGUCUUUUUCUUCACAUGCCAUACUUUCCCUCUCACUUCCUCUUUUAAAUCCAUCUCUGUCUACCAACUGUAAACCAUUAAACAGCCCCUCCUUCCUCUCCCAUAUCUAUCUUCACUCCACUAUUAAGGCAUUCUCUCUCUGUCCUAAUCCUGUGAACAACAUUUUUAUUCCUGGAUACUGGAUGUUGUAUGAGAUCAAGGGCCCCUAUAGCCUCAUAGGUUCUCAUAGAUCAAGGGCCCCUAUAGCCUCAUAGGUUCUCAUAGAUCAGUGGCCCCUAUAGCCUCAUAGGUUCUCAUAGAUCAAGGGCCCCUAGAGCCUCAUAGGUUCUCAUAGAUCAAGGCCUCCAGAAGAGCAGCUUAGGAUACCCUCAUAUCUCUCCCACCCUCCAUCAUUUACUCUCUCCCUCCAUUCUUUACAUCCAUAAUUACUCCCUCUCCCUCUCUCUCGCUUCCUCCCUCUCCCUCUCUCUCUCUUGCUCUCUCUUGCUCUCUCCCCCUCCCUCUCCGUCUCUCUCUCUCUCUCUCGCUCUC